ACCAAGGAUUAGCAAUGUUUAAAGCAAAAGUUAAAAAGAUUGCUUUAGUCUUCUAUCAGUUCAGUUUACACAGUUAACUCCUGUUCUGCUUGAUAUUCAUGAACAUUUCAGCUCUCCAUGAGAGUCCUGAAAGUUUUUUUCCCUCUAUUAUAAUGUCACAAUCUCCAAAGUUAUCAGAAACCUGCAUUGAAGAAAACCUGUUAGAGUUCCACAGCUGAUUAUAGAACCACCUUCUAAAGAGGACCAAAACAAGACUUGUCUGUGGAUGACAAGAGGUUUUAGGGCAGUCAUAAAGAUACAACUGACAAGGAAAUUUGUUACCUCUGUGGCACACAAUAAUUUAAGACAACAAUUAUAAUUAUUACUGAUAAUGUACACUAAGUUAUAUCAGAAUUACAGGAGUUUCCCAUAAUCUUGGAACACAUACCAAUAAAAUGUUCAUACAAAUACAGCUCAAAUAAAACCGAACGCCAUUUUAUAUUUGACAAUAUUGCCUGUAUAAUUUUUUGUACCAAAUAAGCCAAAUUAUGUCAUUUUUGGACUUUAGGGAACCUAAUAUCUUAAAGAAUUAAUUAGGUCAGAAAACAACAUAAUUUACUAUUUGAUUUUGGAAAGUUUGUCAGAUACCAAAGGUUUAAAACACUUGAUAUCACAAAAUAAGAUCACAGAUCAUUGCAAAGUAAGUCAUUCAUUUAACCAAAGUGAUAAAUCAAGGAUUUUUUUAAAAGGCGAAAACCUUUAUUCUUUGAGAGAGAAGACUUAAUUUUCCAAACAAUAGCCCUAAUAAAAACAACACGAAGUCAACUAAAUUUGUUUUUCAAAUUUUUAUAAACAAUCUAUAAAAUUGUAAUUUGACCAUAAGAUAUAGCUUCCAUAAGCCUUUUAUAACCCAUAUAACCUUUGUUAAAAAGAUUUUUAAUGCUUCAAGAAAACCUUGCUAACCUUACACAGAAGGCUAUACGCUGAUGUCGCGUCAGUGCGCUUUGACAUUCACGAUUACUUUAUAGAGAAACUGGACUUAUUUUAUCUUUCAAAACCGGCCCUUACGAUCUCAUGUACAUGGAAAGGCAGGUCAUCAGCAGUAAGUGAGGCCUCUUCAAAUAUUUUUUCAGAGUUUGACCCUUUUCUUCAACAAGCCUCGUGUAAACCAAAGGUUCAACCAACACCAAGACUAUCUUUUAGGGUGGUGAUUCUGACAUUCAAAUGUCAAAAAGAGACCCUUUAGAAAAGGCAAUUUGGAAAUAACCAUUAGAUCUCUGCAGAGCAAAACCUCUCUUCUCACAGGUGACAUGGGUACAGAUGGACACUCCCUUUCAAAGAUGUGGCUUACCCUUUGCCCUUUCUUAUUCCAUGCU
This 1355-nucleotide long non-coding RNA is filed under the name Callithrix jacchus (white-tufted-ear marmoset). Its description in RNAcentral is "lncRNA (ENSCJAG00000085177.1)". Lineage: Eukaryota; Metazoa; Chordata; Mammalia; Primates; Cebidae. The record is from RNAcentral.